Long non-coding RNA from Oryzias melastigma (Indian medaka), 380 nucleotides. RefSeq lists it as uncharacterized. The record is from RefSeq and is a predicted model, not a curated record. NCBI's taxonomy places the organism in Eukaryota, Metazoa, Chordata, Actinopteri, Beloniformes, Adrianichthyidae. The transcript is spliced from 2 exons.
UUUGGACACCUCUGAGUCAGACCAACUCACUCCAACAUUGAGGGAGAAGAUCGGGAUGUCUGGAGUCUUCCUCACAGCUGUGCUGAACCGGGGCUCAAAGAACCGUCCUUAUCUCUAUAGACUGACAGGUUGGCUUUCACUUGCAAAAGACAUAACAGCAAAGAAACAUCUUGACAAUGAAGGGGACAGUCAGAAAACAGCCGGGCCUUUACGGAAUAGCAGGUCACUUCAAAGCUCGGCACUGAAUACAAGGACGAGUGUGGAAUUCUUCCUCACAGAUCCCAAACGUUCCCGACGUUAAAUCUGGCAUCUGCAGAUCCAUGUCCUAAACCCCCCUGCAGAUGAUUUCACAGCCUCAAUAAAAACGUAAGGACCCCCCA